GAUGAACGCUGGCGGCGUGCCUAAUACAUGCAAGUCGAGCGAACGGACGAGAAGCUUGCUUCUCUGAUGUUAGCGGCGGACGGGUGAGUAACACGUGGAUAACCUACCUAUAUGACUGGGAUAACUUCGGGAAACCGGAGCUAAUACCGGAUGAUAUUUUGAACCGCAUGGUUCAAAAGUGAAAGACGGUCUUGCUGUCACUUAUAGAUGGAUCCGCGCUGCAUUAGCUAGUUGGUAAGGUAACGGCUCACCAAGGCAACGAUGCAUAGCCGACCUGAGAGGGUGAUCGGCCACACUGGAACUGAGACACGGUCCAGACUCCUGCGGGAGGCAGCAGUAGGGAAUCUUCCGCAGUGGGCGAAAGCCUGACGGAGCAACGCCGCGUGAGUGAUGAAGGUCUUCGGAUCGUAAAACUCUGUUAUUAGGGAAGAACAUAUGUGUAAGUAACUGCGCACAUCUUGACGGUACCUAAUCAGAAAGCCACGGCUAACUACGUG
RNAcentral lists this ribosomal RNA (497 nucleotides) under uncultured bacterium. Its description in RNAcentral is "partial 16S ribosomal RNA". It matches the Rfam family "Bacterial small subunit ribosomal RNA", at positions 28 to 507 of the family's 1533-position model. The record is from RNAcentral.